RNAcentral lists this long non-coding RNA (461 nucleotides) under Populus trichocarpa (black cottonwood). Its description in RNAcentral is "long non-coding RNA (PTRI_LNC001312)". The record is from RNAcentral. Lineage: Eukaryota; Viridiplantae; Streptophyta; Magnoliopsida; Malpighiales; Salicaceae.
UUUGCUUUAUUGCUGGAAGAGAAGUUACAGAUUGGAUGCAACAAAGCACAGAAUCAUUACAAAACAAAAAGUCAUAGGUACUUGUGACGAUAAGUACUUGUUGUCAGUCUGCCCGAUCUUGAUCAAAAUUAAGCCUGACAAUUUUGAUCGUUGGCAUUUACUUUUAGCCAAUUUCCUGACAGAACCACCACAACAAAAAAGUGAAAAAAAGAACUCCAAAUUUUGGGCUACGUGGGACACUCUCAGGCUUUUUGCUUGAUCCGAGUCUUGAAGCUACGAAUGAUGGGAGGAUCUGAAGAGAUGGACCUUGUCCAGGAAGGUUUCGUACCGGGACAGAGAUUAGACGGCAAGAGAAAGAAACCUGAGGAAAGUAGCAGGUGUCGCAGCAGCUAGUUAAGAUCCUUGUAGGAAAUUAUCCUCUCGUGUGUGCUGCAAAAUACCCAGUAGAGAGCAUAUGAUCC